This 468-nucleotide ribosomal RNA is filed under the name uncultured bacterium. Its description in RNAcentral is "partial 16S ribosomal RNA". It matches the Rfam family "Bacterial small subunit ribosomal RNA", at positions 28 to 507 of the family's 1533-position model. The record is from RNAcentral.
GACGAACGCUGGCGGCGUGCUUAACACAUGCAAGUCGAACGGAAAGGCCCUGCUUUUGUGGGGUGCUCGAGUGGCGAACGGGUGAGUAACACGUGAGUAACCUGCCCUUGACUUUGGGAUAACUUCAGGAAACUGGGGCUAAUACCGGAUAGGAGCUCCUGCUGCAUGGUGGGGGUUGGAAAGUUUCGGCGGUUGGGGAUGGACUCGCGGCUUAUCAGCUUGUUGGUGGGGUAGUGGCUUACCAAGGCUUUGACGGGUAGCCGGCCUGAGAGGGUGAACGGCCACAUUGGGACUGAGAUACGGCCCAGACUCCUACGGGAGGCAGCAGUGGGGAAUACUGCACAAUGGGCGGAAGCCUGAUGCAGCAACGCCGCGUGCGGGAUGACGGCCUUCGGGUUGUAAACCGCUUUCGCCUGUGACGAAGCGUGAGUGACGGUAAUGGGUAAAGAAGCACCGGCUAACUACGUG